GAUGAAGAACGUAGCAAAAUGCGAUAAGUAAUGUGAAUUGCAGAAUUCAGUGAAUCAUCGAAUCUUUGAACGCACAUUGCGCCCGCUGGUAUUCCGGCGGGCAUGCCUGUUCGAGCGUCAUUUCAACCCUCAAACCCCCCGGGUUUGGUGUUGGGGAUCGGCUCUGCCUCACGGCGGUGCCGCCCCCGAAAUACAUUGGCGGUCUCGCUGCAGCCUCCAUUGCGUAGUAGCUAACACCUCGCAACUGGAAUGCGGCGCGGCCAUGCCGUAAAACCCCAACUUCUGAAUGUUGACCUCGGAUCAGGUAGGAAUACCCGCUGAACUUAAGCAUAUCAAUAAGCGGAGGA
Molecule: unclassified non-coding RNA, 347 nt
Filed under: soil metagenome
Description: partial contains 5.8S ribosomal RNA, internal transcribed spacer 2, and large subunit ribosomal RNA
Rfam family: 5.8S ribosomal RNA (bases 1-120)
Source: RNAcentral